CGGAGGAUGCAAGCGUUAUCCGGAAUGAUUUGGGCGUAAAGACGUCCGCAGGUGGCAAUUCAAGUUUGCGGUUAAAGGUUCUGGCUCAACCAGGGACAGGCCGUGAAAACUGAAUAGCUAGAGUAUGGUAGGGGCAGAGGGAAUUCCCAGUGUAGCGGUGAAAUGCGUAGAGAUUGGGAAGAACACCGGUGGCGAAAGCGCUCUGCUAGGCCAAAACUGACACUGAGGGACGAAAGCUAGGGGAGCGAAUGGGAUU
Molecule: ribosomal RNA, 256 nt
Filed under: uncultured bacterium
Lineage: Bacteria
Description: partial 16S ribosomal RNA
Rfam family: Bacterial small subunit ribosomal RNA
Source: RNAcentral